GAAUCCCUGGCAGCAAGGGCCUCUGCCUCCAGGAAUAGACACACAGGUACUUCAUAGCCAUCCUAUCCCAGGUCCAGGAAGAACAUGGAACUUGUUAAACCUGGAGGCAUAACAUCAUGUUAUUACAGAGUGAAAUUGUUACUGAAGUUCAGAUCUUAAUUUUGAAGAACACAUAUAAGAGUUCAGAACUUCCAAGCUACAUUUAUUUCCUACUGCCUGCAGAACUUAUUGGUCUGCUUAUACACUACUUAUACAGACAUAUUUUCAGGUGUAUAGUGUAUUUUGCAAUAAAACUGACUUACAGUUUUU
Long non-coding RNA from Pseudopipra pipra, 309 nucleotides. RefSeq lists it as uncharacterized. The transcript is spliced from 2 exons. The record is from RefSeq and is a predicted model, not a curated record. Lineage: Eukaryota; Metazoa; Chordata; Aves; Passeriformes; Pipridae.